UGGGGAAUAUUGCACAAUGGGGGAAACCCUGAUGCAGCGACGCCGCGUGAACGAAGAAGGUAUUCGUAUCGUAAAGUUCUGUCCUAUGGGAAGAUAAUGACAGUACCAUAGAAGAAAGCUCCGGCUAAAUACGUGCCAGCAGCCGCGGUAAUACGUAUGGAGCGAGCGUUGGCCGGAAUUAUUGGGCGUAAAGGGUACGCAGGCGGUUUAAUAAGUCGAAUGUUAAAGAUCGGGGCUCAACCCCGCAAAGCAUUGGAAACUGAUAAACUAGAGGAGUGGAGAGGAAAGUGGAAUUCCUAGUGUAGUGGUGAAAUACGUAGAUAUUAGGAGGAAUACCAGUAGCGAAGGCGACUUUCUGGACACAAACUGACGCUGAGGUACGAAAGCGUGGGGAGCAAACAGG
RNAcentral lists this ribosomal RNA (403 nucleotides) under bacterium. Its description in RNAcentral is "partial 16S ribosomal RNA". It matches the Rfam family "Bacterial small subunit ribosomal RNA", at positions 355 to 776 of the family's 1533-position model. The record is from RNAcentral.